This 497-nucleotide ribosomal RNA is filed under the name uncultured bacterium. RNAcentral's name for it is "partial 16S ribosomal RNA". It matches the Rfam family "Bacterial small subunit ribosomal RNA", at positions 28 to 507 of the family's 1533-position model. The record is from RNAcentral.
GAUGAACGCUGGCGGCGUGCCUAAUACAUGCAAGUCGAGCGAACGGACGAGAAGCUUGCUUCUCUGAUGUUAGCGGCGGACGGGUGAGUAACACGUGGAUAACCUACCUAUAAGACUGGGAUAACUUCGGGAAACCGGAGCUAAUACCGGAUAAUAUUUUGAACCGCAUGGUUCAAAAGUGAAAGACGGUCUUGCUGUCACUUAUAGAUUGAUCCGCGCUGCAUUAGCUAGUUGGUAAGGUAACGGCUUACCAAGGCAACGAUGCAUAGCCGACCUGAGAGGGUGAUCGGCGACACUGGAACUGAGACACGGUCCAGACUCCUACGGGAGGCAGCAGUAGGGAAGCUUCCGCAAUGGGCGAAAGCCUGACGGAGCAACGCCGCGUGAGUGAUGAAGGUCUUCGGAUCGUAAAACUCUGUUAUUAGGGAAGAACAUAUGUGUAAGUAACUGUGCACAGCUUGACGGUACCUAAUCAGAAAGCCACGGCUAACUACGUG